AUGAGGAGCAGGGAUGUCAACAAUAUGGACCCGCUCCUCCAGGUGUUGCUUGGCCUGGUCAACGCCUCGGCUUCGACCAUCUCCGGUUUCUUCUCCACUCCGCCUGAUUUUUUCGUCGCGAUACCCAACGUUAUCGGAGUUCCGGUCCUACUGGCACAGUUUGUGGUCUACGUGAUGCACUGCAACCCUCAGCCAGAGCUCAACCCACAGCCGGAGCCCAACCCUCCUCCGCCGGAGCAGGAGCGCGGCCCUAUCCACACCGUCGACGUGCCCGUCCACACCGCCGAUGUGCCAAACUACGCGGCGGAUCUCCACACACUCUUCACAUGCCAGGUGUAG
Molecule: ribosomal RNA, 339 nt
Filed under: Triticum aestivum (bread wheat)
Lineage: Eukaryota; Viridiplantae; Streptophyta; Magnoliopsida; Poales; Poaceae
Description: partial small subunit ribosomal RNA
Source: RNAcentral